RNAcentral lists this ribosomal RNA (205 nucleotides) under uncultured bacterium. RNAcentral describes it as "partial 16S ribosomal RNA". It matches the Rfam family "Bacterial small subunit ribosomal RNA", at positions 568 to 773 of the family's 1533-position model. The record is from RNAcentral.
CUCGUAGGCGGCCAACUAAGUCAGACGUGAAAUCCCUCAGCUUAACUGGGGAACUGCGUCUGAUACUGGAUGGCUUGGAUUCGGGAGAGGAAUGCGGAAUUCCAGGUGUAGCGGUGAAAUGCGUAGAUAUCUGGAGGAACACCGGUGGCGAAGGCGGCAUUCUGGACCGAUAUUGACGCUGAGGAGCGAAAGCCAGGGAGCAACG